Molecule: long non-coding RNA, 576 nt
Filed under: Lepisosteus oculatus (spotted gar)
Lineage: Eukaryota; Metazoa; Chordata; Actinopteri; Semionotiformes; Lepisosteidae
Description: lncRNA (ENSLOCG00000023299.1)
Source: RNAcentral
UUUUCUGUUUAGAAAAGAAGAAGCCACUGAAGCUGCCAGUGCCACCCCCAAAACUGAGGUUCUCUCCAAGGAAGAGUGUCUCCCAGACCUCACUCAACUGUUCAAGUACACUUAAAGCCCAGGUAGUCCAAAUUGUGACCUCACCAUGCAAAUUUCGAAGCCCUAAGCAAGUUAUAAGACCAAAGUCUUCAACUGAACCCCAGAGUCACCAUGCCUCCUCAGCUUCCCGCUCACCCUCGUCUUCUCCCUCAUCUCGAUCAGGUAAGGAAAUAAUGGCUUUAUAAAUGUUUUAACACAAGGCUUUGUAGACAUGAACAAUACUACAUUACUUGUACCAUAUUAAUUAAAUUAUUAAAUUUAAGAAUAGUUUAUGAUCCCUCUGCAAAUGAUAGAUUUGAUAGGUAUGAGAUUAUUGUUAACUUUUUAAUUUCUAGUAUCAAACCAGGAUUGGCCAGAUGGUAGAAAUGAUCCUGGAAGACUGUCAAAAAGUAUGUAUUUUUUAUUGUAUCAAGUAAUAAAUAAAACUACAUAUAUUAUAGUUUUACACAGAAUGUAUUUUAAUUAUGUGUAGGCUCA